CGCGGUCGCGCGACCAUUUGCGACUGGCGACCAAACUGCGAGCGACGUUCACACCGGCAAGGAUUCAUGCGAGCGACCGGAAGUCGCAAACCCGGAGAGUCACGUACAGAUCUCGUUAUCAACGAGAACUUGGGCGACCGGCGACGAUCAGCUGAUCAGAUACGGAGCCCGCUGAGCGCGAUGCGUUUGUUUUUGACGGCUGUGUUUGCGUAGCGUUCUCCCGGCAGCAUCAUAGACUUCGAGUCGAGUGAUGAAGAAGAGGUUGUGGCGGUGCUGAUGUGCUCAGCCAACGUGUCAGCACAAAAGCCUUCAAAGCAAGCAAGGCGAUGGUGGGUGAGACCGUCCCUUCGCUCGCGAGAAGUGGCCGUCCACACAGGGCGUCUGCUCUUGCGCUCGCACGACGAGGAGAAUUUCCGAGAUUAGCUUCAUGCGGAUGCCGCCACGAACGUUCGAUGCUGUGCUCGAACUGCUGCGCCCCGCAAUAUCCAAGCAGGACACAAACCACCGGCUUACAAUUUCGGCGCACGACUGCCUGGCCAUGACCAUUAGGUAUGCCAAGGAAGUGCGAGAUAAAUUGGCGCACUACUUCGUCACAGACGGUCAGGUGCCUUGGCAGGACAAAGUGGUGAACAGCACUUGAGGCGUACAAGGUGAAGGUGUCGACACGAGUCUCCUCAGCCGUAUCAGGGGUACGUUCCGGUUCCGCUGCAUGUCUUGGCCGAGGCGGUGAUCUGCAGUGAUUAAAAUUUCUUUCUAUGUAUUUGAUGAUGCCGCUAGUACAUGAAAAGUUUUAGGCAUUCUUUGGGAGUUAAAAUGCCAUUAUGAUUUCGCUCAACACGAAGUUUAUUUUACACUUGCGUUACCUCUUGAUUGAGCACUGCUGUAUGGAAGGUGUGCAUACAGAAGUUUAUUGUGCCUAUUAUGUUAAUAAAAUGCUAUGUAGGCUGCACAUCUAAAUGAGAACAAGAGAUAUUGU
Long non-coding RNA from Rhipicephalus microplus (southern cattle tick), 976 nucleotides. The record is from RefSeq and is a predicted model, not a curated record. NCBI's taxonomy places the organism in Eukaryota, Metazoa, Arthropoda, Arachnida, Ixodida, Ixodidae.